This 520-nucleotide long non-coding RNA is filed under the name Arabidopsis thaliana (thale cress). Its description in RNAcentral is "long non-coding RNA (ATHA_LNC000600)". The record is from RNAcentral. Lineage: Eukaryota; Viridiplantae; Streptophyta; Magnoliopsida; Brassicales; Brassicaceae.
GAAAGUUUCCGUGUGUUCUAGAGAGAUAGAGAAAGGGGUAUGUUGUUUUCCAGAUAUCUUGCAUGACAAGAAACCUAAACCUCUGGAUCCAAGAAACAUAUAUCAGACGGUUAAGAUCAACCGGCAUCACGACCGGACAUUCUAUGCAAAAUCUGUGGCGCCAGACGGUACACCGCCAACAUUUCUCAAGAAGAAAGGAUGGGAGCUACGAACCUCGAGGAGCCUACAUCCGAGGAGACCUAGAGAAGCUCUUGGCCUAGACGAGGAACUAAGAGCUCGUCUCCCAGCAUUUGGAUUUCCAGUUUCUACAAUUCGGUCAGGAAGUGUGAUAGUUGGAGAAUGGUAUUGCCCUUUUAUGUUUGUGAAGGAGAAUUGUAGUGUAAGUCAACAAAUGAGGAAGUCAAUGUUCUAUAGGAUCACACUAUCCCAAUACUGGGAACGAAUUUACCAUUGCGGAAACAAUGAUCUUGAUGAAAACAAUGAUGAAAACGAAGAAGAAGUUGUGAGAGUAGAGGCUAAC